UUGCUUUCUGAAGAUGACAAUAGGAUUCUUGUGUGACUGCAACUUUUAAAAGUAAUUUGCAAGAGCACUUCUGUUAUACAUCUAUUUGGUGAUAAAUCAGACCAUUUUAAAACCGUGGAGCUUAAAGCGAUCUCACUUUUUAGUAUUUCAUAAAGAUAUUCAAUUAAAUAUCAACGCAAUCCAAAGAUUCCAUAUGAAAAAGUAAGGGGCUACUUUGUCUUAUGGUAAAGCCUUGGGUUGACAGAAG
This is a non-coding RNA of Pelobates cultripes (western spadefoot toad), 247 nucleotides long. The record is from the annotation of a GenBank genome assembly. NCBI's taxonomy places the organism in Eukaryota, Metazoa, Chordata, Amphibia, Anura, Pelobatidae.